UGAGCUGGUAAACCGCGGAUUGGUUUUUCAUGUAACGGAUCCUGGCUAUUCGGCAGAAUAAAGAGAAGAGAAACAGAAAAGCCGCAGUUGUUGCGCGCGGCACAAAUCCUCCUGUGUGUUCGUGUGUUGCUCCUCAGGUAGGAUAGCUACUGGGUGUUCGUGUGUGUCCACAGAGAGAGAUUCGGUGAGAUUGAGUUGAAUCGCUGGUCCAGUUCUAACAG
RNAcentral lists this long non-coding RNA (221 nucleotides) under Brachypodium distachyon (stiff brome). RNAcentral's name for it is "long non-coding RNA (BDIS_LNC005289)". The record is from RNAcentral. Lineage: Eukaryota; Viridiplantae; Streptophyta; Magnoliopsida; Poales; Poaceae.